GAAAAAAAAAAGACAAGCCAUGAGGGGACAUGAGUAGUGUGGUGGGGAGGGCCCGCUGGCCUGCCUGGGUGGGGGCUGAGGAGCAGAGGCCGGAUGCUGAGGAGGGGCAGGAGCCACAUUCGAGGCCUCCUGCCGGCUGAGGGGCUGGGUGGGUUCCACCUGAGGAGGCGCCACGACUCUGCCCACCCCGGCUCCCAUCUCUUCCAGGCUCCUCUGGACCCUUCCCGCUGCCCAGCGCUGGGGACGCCUUCCUCACCCUGCGGACUCUGGCCUCUCUCCAGCCUCCUCCUGGGGGAGGCUGCCUGCAGUCCCAGGCCCAGGGUAGCUGGCAGGGGGCCACCCCCCAACCUGCAACUGCCUCACCUGCUGGAGACCCUGGCAGCAUCAACUCCAGUACAUCUAAUUAAGUUUGGGGGAUAAGCAGGAAAGAGCGCUGCGUGAGCUGCCAUGUAUCGCCAGCCGUUGCUUUGUUACUGAACGUGCCGCCGACGACCUCAGAAAACCCAGAUGGGUGGUGGUGCCCAUGAGCCCCUGCUCCUCAGCCAGGCCCGUGGCGCCGGCUCAUGUGUCUGCUGCGACUCGAGAUGGCCUGAAACGCCACUCAUUCUCCCACUUCAGUUCGUUUUUUUGACAGUAAUUUUAUGGUAACGCUAUGAAUUGAAUUGUCUGUUCUAGGACUGGGCACAGAUUUUCCCAUUAAAAUUUUUGACUUAUUUUAA
Molecule: long non-coding RNA, 719 nt
Filed under: Homo sapiens (human)
Lineage: Eukaryota; Metazoa; Chordata; Mammalia; Primates; Hominidae
Description: non-protein coding lnc-TSSK6-1:3
Source: RNAcentral